RNAcentral lists this unclassified non-coding RNA (2571 nucleotides) under Hevea brasiliensis (rubber tree). The record is from RNAcentral. Lineage: Eukaryota; Viridiplantae; Streptophyta; Magnoliopsida; Malpighiales; Euphorbiaceae.
AGCAUGGCAUUUUCAAGGAUUGCUAGGAAUGGCUUGAGAAGAGCAGGAGGCACCUUUGGUAGUUACGCAGAGAAAGGUACAGCAUGUGAGGGAGUAUCCAAUCAUAAAUGGUCUUCACCUUUCCUUAAAAAUGUUGCAGCAGGCAACAACCUAUCGUACAUUUCCAGCAUCAGGAAGGCAAAUCAUGCCAGUUUUUGGAGCAGGGGAAUUGGGGGAACCCCACAUUAUCAAUUUCCUAAUGCAGAGAGGAUUCUGGAAGAAUCAGAAAAUGAGUAUGAAGAACCAAGGUAUCCAGGUCUAGAAGCAACAAGGCCUGGUGAAAAGCCAAGGGUGGUUGUCCUUGGCACUGGAUGGGCUGCAUGUCGAUUCAUGAAAGGACUUGACACCAAAAGCUAUGAUGUUGUUUGCAUAUCACCAAGGAAUCAUAUGGUCUUCACUCCUUUGCUUGCUUCAACUUGUGUUGGAACCCUUGAGUUUCGCUCCGUAGCUGAGCCUGUUAGUCGGAUCCAAUCUGCAUUGGCAACAAGUCCAAACUCAUAUUUUUAUUUGGCUUCCUGCACUGGCAUUGACACGGACAAACACGAAGUGUACUGUGAGACAGUAAGCAAUGGUGGAUUACCUCAGGAGCCUCACCAGUUUAAAGUUGCAUAUGAUAAGCUUGUCAUUGCUGCUGGAGCUGAGCCUCUGACUUUUGGUAUCAAGGGAGUGAAUGAACAUGCUUAUUUUCUUAGAGAAGUGAAUCAUGCUCAAGAAAUAAGGAAGAAGCUCCUUAUGAAUCUCAUGCUAUCUGAAAAUCCAGGCAUACCUGAAGAAGAGAAGAACCGCUUAUUACACUGUGUCGUUAUUGGAGGUGGUCCAACAGGGGUAGAGUUUAGCGGUGAAUUGAGUGAUUUUAUCAUGAGAGAUGUGCAAGAGCAGUAUUCUCAUGUUAAGGAUCGCAUUAGGGUUACCCUCAUAGAGGCCAAUGAAAUUCUAUCAUCCUUUGAUGUUGGACUAAGGCAAUAUGCAACAAAUCAUUUGACUAAGUGUGGUGUCCGUCUUACAAGAGGUGUAGUGAAAGAGGUGCAUCCCACAAAAUUAUUUCUCAGUGACGGUACAGAAGUCCCAUAUGGCCUCUUGGUAUGGUCUACUGGUGUCGGUCCAUCUCAGUUUGUCAAGUCACUAAAUCUUCCCAACUCCCCUGGUGGAAGGAUUGGUAUUGAUCAAUGGUUGCGGGUCCCUUCUGUGGAAGAUGUAUUUGCACUUGGAGACUGUGCUGGUUUUCUUGAGCAGACAGGGAGGCCAGUGCUUCCAGCUCUAGCUCAGGUUGCAGAAAGGCAAGGGAAAUAUCUAGUUGAGUUGUUUAACAAUAUUGGAAAGCAAAAUGGAGGCAAGGCUUUCAGUGCAAAAGAUUUCUCUCUAGGAGAUCCAUUUGUCUACAGGCAUCUGGGUAGCAUGGCAUCGGUAGGGCGUUACAAGGCACUGGUUGAUCUGCGCCAGUCUAAGGAUGCAAAAGGCUUAUCACUUGCUGGAUUCAUCAGUUGGCUAAUCUGGCGCUCUGCAUAUCUUACACGAGUGGUCAGUUGGAGGAACAGAUUUUACGUGGCAGUGAAUUGGGCAACCACCCUGGUUUUUGGCAGAGACAACUCAAGGAUUGGAUAGAUUAAGAAGGGCAUACACCAUUGUCAUUUUUUAUUCUUUAUAUUGAUUUGAGCUAGAUAUCAGGUUCCAUGUUCCUUAAUCUUGACCUCCGAUUCAAAAAAUUUUGGAGUCAGGAUGUAGUUUAAGGUUUAUGUUACCAAUCAAUAUGGAUAGAUGGGUACAAUAUUAGAAAGCUAGAAACCUCAAGAAAAUAAAGGAAACACCUUGCAUAAGAAAAUAAAGGAAACACCUUGUGUAAGCCAUUUAGUGCACCAAAACCUGUUUUGCCAUAUCAAUCUCUGUGGUAAUGCAUGUUCUGUUCAUCAAUUGCUACUUGUAUUAUAAUGAAUCUGGAUCCAAGUUCAAUUCCCUAACUAAUGGACCAAACAUACCAGACUUCAUUGAACUGUCAAUCUUUUCCCUUCCUUUGAAGUUUUAAUUGAAGGAUUGCCACAAAGAGAAAAUUUCAAAAGAAUCAAAAAGAAAAGAACCAAAAAGUAAGAUUUGAAAAGAACAAUCCAAUUUACGUGCAAAGCAACAAGCUUAUCUUUCCUUUUUACAACAGGCUGCCUCUAACUCACAACAAAACAUCUCACUCUUACAAAAGAACAUCCAAAAUUGGGUCUACUGAACUAACAAAUACUAAGAAAAGUGAGAAGGAGGUCCUGCUCGUCUACUACUGAAAGAGAAAAAAGAAGCAACAGAGUGAGCCAAACCCACCACUAUAGCCACCUUCACCUGCCCUCUCUUUGGGAUUGGACGGCCAGAAAACCUUCUUGAAACCUUCCUAUUGUUGAUCAUAGCCGUUCUUGCGCCUGCCAUCUUUCUAUUCUCUCUCCCUCUCUCCACAAAGAUCAAAGAACUAUAAAGAUAAUGAAAGAAGUAAAGCUUUGAUUUGGGUUGUAUCCUGAAACCUGAGUCCCGCCUUUACUACAAAAAGAAAUCAACUAA